Long non-coding RNA from Astatotilapia calliptera (eastern happy), 1146 nucleotides. Lineage: Eukaryota; Metazoa; Chordata; Actinopteri; Cichliformes; Cichlidae. The record is from Ensembl.
GUUUUACAGUGAGGAGAAAAAAGAAACAUAUUUUCUGUUAUAAAUAUUAUAUCUCUCAGAUUUGGAUAAAGACCAAACACGUAGCUAAAAGAGAGUGACUAUAGUAACUACUGCUCUAUGUCUAAAUCGGUAACUGAAAAAGCUGCAGGGUGCUUCCUGAAAUACAUUUUCUCAGCUGUGUUUGCAAUACUUGGAUUCAUAACCAUCGGUUCUCUCAGACCAUUACUUUAAGUAAAAUCUAAGAAUCAAUAAAUAACAUCUAAGUUGAAAUCAAACGGGAUUGUUACAAUUCAGUAAGGAGACAGCAGGAAAUAUAACACAACAGCUGGGUGAACAUUGAGAUCUGUCAGUAUCCAUGGUGACGGGUGAUUUCUCAUGCAAAGAUGAGUGAGUGGGGCUUUGUGUGCCACUUAGAAUAGUAAAGGGCCAUAAUGGUUACAUUUGGAUCAUUUAAAAGGUUGACUGGUUUGUAGGAUGGCCUACCACAACAGCAACCUGCCUGCAAUAAAUGCUGGACGUCUUGUUUCUUUUAAAUUGUGUAUGUUAUAUGUUGUGUUUUAAACAAACAGAGCUUGUCGCUGAUUGUUAUGCUUUGUCUUCGUUUUGUUGUUUAAAGCUAAAACACGAGUCAGUGUUAUUUGAAUGUAGAGUAUUUGCAUUUCUGUGUGAAGCUGCAGUUAAACAGGUGGUGAGGAGAUAUGUGACUAUGUGAGCUUAUGUUGUUUUUGUUUUUAUUCCAUUAACUGUGUUACCAUGUUGACUGUUAAUCCGAAAAUGGAAUAAUGUCGCUGUUUGCACCUUACUACUAAUUCCUGCUGAAUGUCACAUCAGUCAAAUACGACCGAUCCAGACUUUUGUUCUAAAUGAUUUGACUCUAUUUUGUGUGGAAACCAUAUGUUCUAAUGCAGAAAUAAAUCUUUACGACUGUGUAAAUGUCUUGACUAUAAAAAUGUAAUCUAAAUACCUGUGUUCAAGUGUCUGUUUAAAUCUAUAUUAUUUAUGUAUUUAUGUAAGAAAACUUUAUUUAGAAAAUUACAUUUUAGAAUUGCACAAGAAUUGACUCAGAAAUCAUUGGCCACAUGGUCCGUGGGGUGACCUAAAAUAUGAUUGGCCCAACACCAUUAAACAAGAGAAUGUCUGUUUCAC